AGUGAACGCUGGCGGUAGGCCUAACACAUGCAAGUCGAACGGCAGCACAGUAAGAGCUUGCUCUUACGGGUGGCGAGUGGCGGACGGGUGAGGAAUACAUCGGAAUCUACUUUUUCGUGGGGGAUAACGUAGGGAAACUUACGCUAAUACCGCAUACGGCCUACGGGGGAAAGCAGGGGAUCUUCGGACCUUGCGCGAUUGAAUGAGCCGAUGUCGGAUUAGCUAGUUGGCGGGGUAAAGGCCAACCAAGGCGACGAUCCGUAGCUGGUCUGAGAGGAUGAUCAGCACAACUGGAUCUGAGACACGGUCCAGACCCCUACGGGAGGAAGCAGUGGGGAAUAUUGGCCAAUGGGCGCAAGCCUGAUCAAGCCAUACCGAGUGGGUGAAGAAGGCCUUCGGGUUGUAAAGCCCUUUUGUUGGGAAAGAAAAGCAGCAGGUUAAUACCCCGCUGUUCUGACGGAACCAAAAGAAUAAACACCGGCUAACUUCGU
RNAcentral lists this ribosomal RNA (491 nucleotides) under uncultured bacterium. RNAcentral's name for it is "partial 16S ribosomal RNA". It matches the Rfam family "Bacterial small subunit ribosomal RNA", at positions 29 to 506 of the family's 1533-position model. The record is from RNAcentral.